AGGAAUUUAGGUUAAAACAGACCGAGAGCCUUCAAAGCCCUAAGCAAGUCAUCAUCGAUUUAAUUCCUG
This 69-nucleotide transfer RNA is filed under the name Viverricula indica (small Indian civet). RNAcentral's name for it is "tRNA-Trp". The record is from RNAcentral. Lineage: Eukaryota; Metazoa; Chordata; Mammalia; Carnivora; Viverridae.